This 497-nucleotide ribosomal RNA is filed under the name uncultured bacterium. RNAcentral's name for it is "partial 16S ribosomal RNA". It matches the Rfam family "Bacterial small subunit ribosomal RNA", at positions 28 to 507 of the family's 1533-position model. The record is from RNAcentral.
GAUGAACGCUGGCGGCGUGCCUAAUACAUGCAAGUCGAGCGAACAGACGAGGAGCUUGCUCCUCUGACGUUAGCGGCGGACGGGUGAGUAACACGUGGAUAACCUACCUAUAAGACUGGGAUAACUUCGGGAAACCGGAGCUAAUACCGGAUAAUAUAUUGAACCGCAUGGUUCAAUAGUGAAAGACGGUUUUGCUGUCACUUAUAGAUGGAUCCGCGCCGCAUUAGCUAGUUGGUAAGGUAACGGCUUACCAAGGCAACGAUGCGUAGCCGACCUGAGAGGGUGAUCGGCCACACUGGAACUGAGACACGGUCCAGACUCCUACGGGAGGAAGCAGUAGGGAAUCUUCCGCAAUGGGCGAAAGCUUGACGGAGCAACGCCGCGUGAGUGAUGAAGGUCUUCGGAUCGUAAAACUCCGUUAUUAGGGAAGAACAAAUGUGUAAGUAACUAUGCACGUCUUGACGGUACCUAAUCAGAAAGCCACGGCUAACUACGUG